Molecule: unclassified non-coding RNA, 442 nt
Filed under: Hevea brasiliensis (rubber tree)
Lineage: Eukaryota; Viridiplantae; Streptophyta; Magnoliopsida; Malpighiales; Euphorbiaceae
Source: RNAcentral
UUCCUUUCCCUCUCUCAUUGCGAAUUCCUCAAAGGCCAAUCUUCAAUUGCCCUAAUUCGCCCCUUUCCCCAUUUGAGGAUUCCUCUGAUCCUCCUUCACAGGAACGGCUUCAUCGUUUAUUCCCCCGAUCCUCUUUUCCAGGGGAGAAUUGUUCUGUUUUUUCUCUUGAAUUUUGCUUUGUUUUCAAUCGAUUUGUUCUUGUUUUUCUCUCUCUUCGGAAAGGUUAGGAUCUCGGCGACAUGAGCUUUCAAGAUAUCGAGGCUGGUCGCCCCUUUGCGUCUUCGAGGAGAGACCUCAUCAAUGGCAAACAAGAUCCCACGCAAGCCGUUGCUUCGGGUAUAUUUCAGAUUAAUACUGCCGUCGCUACGUUUCAGAGGCUUGUUAAUACCUUAGGAACGCCGAAGGAUACGCCUGAGCUACGAGAGAAGCUGCACAAGACCAG